AAUAGAAUCAAUUUACUAGGUAGAUUCUUUUAUGCUGAGUCUUACCCCUUUCCCCUUUCCCCUUCCCCCCAGAUAUGUAAGAGCAAAUACAUUCUCACACUAUAGGCCUUAUAUCUCUGCAUGUCAGGGAUCAGUGCAAUAAAGGGCUUGAAGAAGAAUGAAUACUAAUCCAAAGUCCAUCAACAGAAGAAAUCUAACUACACAGGAUAUCCAGUGAUUUCUGUGUGAUUAAAGUUUAAUGUAAUGACCAGAUUUUGUCAUGUUCCCA
Molecule: long non-coding RNA, 268 nt
Organism: Ipomoea nil (Japanese morning glory)
Lineage: Eukaryota; Viridiplantae; Streptophyta; Magnoliopsida; Solanales; Convolvulaceae
Exons: 3
Source: RefSeq, a predicted model, not a curated record